Molecule: ribosomal RNA, 324 nt
Filed under: uncultured eukaryote
Lineage: Eukaryota
Description: partial 18S ribosomal RNA
Rfam family: Eukaryotic small subunit ribosomal RNA
Source: RNAcentral
CCCUUAGAUGUCCUGGGCUGCACGCGCGCUACACUGAUGUGUCCAGUAAGCACCUAACCUCUUCCGAAAGGAACGGGUAACCUUUGCAAAGCACAUCGUGAUGGGGAUAGAUUAUUGCAGUUAUUAGUCUUGAACGAGGAAUUCCUAGUAAGCACAAGUCAUCAGCUUGUGUUGAUUACGUCCCUGCCCUUUGUACACACCGCCCGUCGCUCCUACCGAUUGAAUGUUCCGGUGAGCUCUUCGGACUGCGCGGUCUGCAGUUUCUGCGUUCCGUGCGGAAAGUUGCGCAAACCUUAACAUUUAGAGGAAGGAGAAGUCGUAACA